GGUAUUUGUAAUACGUUUGUAAUACGAGUACACAAAUUGGUGUGUAAAUCCGCAAGCAGUGAACAGUGUGUGGCGUUUACCUAUAGCUAUACUGACGCGUUGAUAUAAUCUUCAGGUAUAUAUAUUUUAUAUUGAUAACCAUAAUUAACCUGCUAAUAAUUCAUUGUUUAAAAUCAAGGUGAGUAACAUACAUAACGACAUGGAAAAUUCUAAGUUUGGAUGUUAAAUUUGACCUCUAGACGUACUUAUUAGGUCAAACCAAAGUCAAAAUACUUGUAAAAAUGUCGUUACGCAUUUACAUUGGUUAUCACAAAGCAUAUAAAAGCGUGAUACAUGUACAGUUCACAAUUAUCGCUAAAAAGGAAAUGUUCAAGUUUUCUAUUACAUCAGUUUGAUUGAACGUGGGAAACGGUUUUGAAAAAAGGGGGAGGUCUUGUUAUUUUCCCAUCUUCAGGUCUACACGUGUCCAGAUUUUGUUUGUGCCACACGAAAAAGUAUUUUAAAAUAUCCACACUUCAUUAUGCACCAUGUUUCUUUAAAACAAUGUGUGAUAUCAAGACAUAGUUCUAAAAUUGUCCACAUUGUCACCAAUGAACUUCAAUGUCAUGAUUUUAUUACAUGACAAAUGUAGUUUCUGAAUACACAUUCCAAUGCAUUAAAUGUAUGGAGUAUUCAUAUAAUUUUCUAGAACUUCCUGGAUUCUGCUGCUGUUUGAAGGCUAGUCCAAGAUCCGCCUCAGGAGCAAAUAUUACAGGUGUACAUUGUACAACUGGACUGAUUAAGGGCCGGGACAACCAUGGUUUAUAAAACAGCAGUACUUUAAACCAUUAUGUUUAAAAUUUAUUAAUAAAACUACGGUUUUAACUCCUUGGGUCUUCAGUCCAGAUUUUGCCGAAGGCCCACCGGCCCAAGAUUUUAAAAAGUCUGUAUGAUGUGAAAGAAUUUCUACUGCAGGCCAAUAUACGGCAUGUAUGGUAUUAAAUCUACUGGGUCUGGGAAGGCCAACUGAAAGGUGUGUGGUACAGACCAUUGAUGGCAAAAAAUUGUCUUUUUAAUGAUGAUGGGAGUUUAAAACAACCUUGACUGGUUAAACAGCCCUUGUUGCACGGUCGGUAACAUUAUGAGGGUCAAUAUUUUGAUUUUCUGGUGGGGGUCCAGGAGGAAUUUGAAAAUGAUUAGCCUGGUUAGCGCUGAAUAUAAAUAAUGAUAUAUCAUGGACAUAAGAUUGGAUAAAAAAUAUUCUGCAACACGGAAAUGCAAGAAAUAAACAUGUUCAAAAGGGCAAAUGAAGCUGAAAGGUUGUGGAACAAAAUUAUCAUGUGUACAUGUACCAACAGAUGACAAUGAAUGGUCAAUCUGCAAAAAAUCCUCCUGCCUCAGUGCCCAAACAUCAAAUGGUUGUCCCUAAAUAAGUCCAGGUGUUAAAUGUAUACCUGUAUUGUUGCUGCUUUGCGAGGUGGAUCUUAGUAACAUUAGGUUAUAUGAUGUUUCUAGUGCUCUGUUUACUGUAUGCAUUGCUUCUAAUAAUGCCAUAAACAAACCGUAAAAAAUAUACAUCAAUGCUCACUUACUGUCGUGACAGUAAAUCAUGAAAUAUUGAAGGUACUUAAAAAACAAAAUUUCACUAUUUUAUACCAGGUAUAUAAAUUAAACUUAUUGUUUUGUUCACCUCAAAUAAAACCUGACAUUGACUUGUGAAAUCUAUUAUUAGAAGUUCAAUAUUUGUCUGGCCUGAACGAAAUUUGCAAAAACAAAACUUUACUGUUUCAAAUGUAAAGGUUUAUCAUUACGAUUCGGCAUAAAUGGAACCUAAGAAUUCAAUGGCACAACUUGUCCCUUUUGAGAUUAAGUGCCACGCUCUCAGUCACAGAUUAUUGUGUCAGUUCAUCAUGUUCAUUGACAUUUUAAUUUGCAUUAAUAAGUUAACAUGUAACACAGGUGAAAGUCAGAGACAUAUAUAUGUUUUGUCAUCAGAUUUACCUGUACAUUAAUUAUCAAAAGGUUAAUUCUAGAAAAUAUGCAUUACAAAGGAAGUAUUUCAGUUUUGUUACAUAAUCACUACAUGUUUGGAAUAAAAAUCAACAUUUCAUAUAAGUAUCAUGUUAAAAUAUAUACUGCAUAUGCACUACAUGCACAUGUACAAUGUAUAUAGGUCAUAAAGUCAUAUGCCUUUGAUUUAUUAUGUUUUGGAUUGUAAUUUCCAUUACCUGAAAGUACCAUACUGUCUUUUGUAGAAAAUAUUGAAAUUUUUUCACCAAUGCUACAUAUAGGAAGAAAUCAGUUUCUAUUUACCAUGUUUACCAAAACCAUAUGUGGGAACAAACUGCAAUAGGCAAGCUUUUCACCUUGAAACAAACAAAAAUCAACAUUGUCUUGUCAGCGCAUGUUGGCUUCAAGUGUUGAAGGGUCUUGUGUUCUCUCUGCAAGUUAAAAUUAUGUGUCUAUGUCAGGGUGCCAUGCUUUCCUACAGACUGUUACUUAGUGAAAUAGCAUAUUAAAGAUCAGAUUCAGUGGGUUGGUCUAAUACAACAUGUACAAAGCUUUAUCCUUAUUCUAAACAUGUAUGACAAUAUCAUCUGAUGGCUUCAAGUUAUUUUUCAAAGUCAAAUUUUGUUGGUAAAUUUAUAAAUUUUCUUUUAAAGCUUAUAUUGAUUAAACUACAUAACCAAAAAAGAUCUAUUGAACUUUUAAAAUCGACUGAAUAACCAAAUAUUUACACACAUACAAUAGUCAUGAAAACAACACAAUUGAAAUAGAAUAUAAAGAAAAGCACCAGCAUUGCACUGUCAUGAAGUUUAAAUGAGUCUCUCAGUCUUAUAUUGUCAUGGAGAGAAAUUAAAGUAAAGAAUAGUUUAUUUUAAACUGGGUAAAAACACUCUGAAUAUAGAAAAGUUUUUAAAAAAAAUGCAUAAUAUAUAUGAUAUACAUGUAUGUAUACAUUAAAGUUUGUAAAAUGUACUUUUGUUGUGAUGCACCUGUACAUUUCACAUGUAUAUUUCAAUAAAAACAGCAAUGCAACGAAAACAAUUUUACUUAUGUAUGUUUAAUACUGGCCAACAGAAAGUUUUAUCAGCUACAUUUAUAUACAUGUAUGUACAGUUUCAUAUGGUAAUAUAGCAAUAGCACAUGUACAUAGUGUACAGAGACAAUUAAACUACUCAUAGUUCUCACUAAGUCAUUGUAUGUAGAGUCGAGAGUCCUGGACUAACGAAAAUCUGUCUGGAUUGACUCACCAUUUUCAAAACUGGAUCAAGAUUGAAAUAUUUUGUAUUAACACACAUCAUUUUAUAGCAAAAGUCAAAAGUAUUCUGAAUUUUUAAAAAGGAAUUUCAGUGCUGGAUUAGGUCAUAAAGACUAAAAUCAUGAUAAAUUAUAUUGCAAUAAAAUAUCUUUUUCUUACUGUUGGACUCACCAUCAUGACCAUGGCCAACAGUGAUGAGUCCCUGGCCUUCAAAAAUCCUUAGGGAAGACCCUUAGUUAUUCUUUUGGCAUUCACCUCCAAUUUAGGUAUUAUUUUGAAAUGACUCGUAUAGGUAUUAUUUUGAAAUAACGCAUUUAGGUAUUAUUUUGAAAUAACUCAUUUAGGUAUUAUUUUGAUAUAUUUAACCUGGACUUCAUUGUUUUUUCAGAUUUGCACAGAAAACUUAUUGUCAAGAUGAUUUCAUUAGAGAGCUGUUUGGUAUUUAUUCUGUCAACCAUCAUUCCAGCAAUAUACUGUGAGGGAGACGACAAGCUUGGUGAGUUAUCUCUUUUUAAACCAGUUACAAAUAGUAUGAAAUUCAAAACAGUGUAGCUGUGGUCAUUGAUUGACCCAUAAAUCAUCCAUGACUGGGCAAUUUACGUGAACGUUUGUCUGUAACAACCACUGUUCAUGACGUACCUACGAGACAUUUAAACUGUGGGGUCAACAAAGUUUCUUAACGCCUUUAAUUAAAAAUAAUUCGAAAAAUUAAUCAGGAAUAACCUUUGUGUUUUGAUUUAUUAAUUGAUAUAAUAAAAUAUCGUGUUAUUUCUGAUUAAUUUUUUUCGAACUUACUUUAUUUAGGUGUUGAGAACCUUUGUGACCAUAGUUUAGUGUCUUUAAAAGUACAUAGUGAGCAUUGGUCGUUACAUACAAACGUUCACCUAAAUUGUCCCAGUCAAUGAAUGAUUUUAAUGUGUCAAUCAAUGGCCACAGCUACACUGUUUUGAUUUUCAUACUAGAGCAGAGUUAUCUCCCAUGUUGACAAAAUAUUUUAUAUAUAUAUAUACUGAGUGCCAAUGAAAACGCACACUGUUGAUUUUCAAAAAAAUCCUAAAAUUUUAUUUUAUUAUAUAUUAGACUUUGUUAGUUUUGGUUGAAAAUGACUUUUUUAGACAAUUUGUCGAAUAACUUUACGGUUGAGUGAUUUUUUGGAACAAAUGCGAAGUAAGGGUUUAUUUUCUGCAGGGAAUAAACCGAAGUUCACCGGCUUUUUCAACAUACGCUAUUUUCACGAUUUGUAAUUUAAAGCUUGGGUAAUGUCACGUAUUUUCCCGCCUUAUUGUUUGAGAACUCCAUAAACAUCUGAGUAAAUGCCAGGACUUUUCUGACAACCAGCGACAUGCAGUUUUGGGCAUGAUCCAUGAAGCCUUUUAAAAGCAUCACUUACGAGAAAGAUGAGUUUGUAGCUCUCAAUAACGCAAAUCAUCCAACAAAUUCACCAAAUUGGAUCAUUUUAAUGAUAAGCACAUCCCGGGGUAACAAAAAAGCAAGAAACGUUAGAAGACCGAUACAUUUGGUUUUAAAUAUCCUGAUAAUCGGGCUCUGAGGGCUGUCAAUGUCACAGAGAGUUCAAUUGGUAGUCACGGUAGAACCUUUGGAGCAAUUUCAGUAAAGCGCCAUUUGCGCAGAAAUUGUUAAAGAGCACCACAGUCUUUCUUUAGUGACAUCCAAACGGCCGUCUGGCGUAGACAUCAGAUUCUGUAGACCAAAAAUCAUUUCUUAUUGUACCAAAAACCGUCAGUGGUGGUUACAUAGACAUUUGGCACCCUUCUUAUCCAAAAGUCAUGCUUUUCGCCGGAUUUUGGUCCGAUCGAGCAAAUUUUGCAUCAGAUUUGACAUGGUUUAGACGAUGAAAACCACCACCAAUAUCAUAAAGUCAGAUUGAGUUUUCUUUGCGGGAUAAGUGGAAUAACAUUCUUAGGGAUCACAUUUAAACGUCUGGGAUGAUCAAUUCCACGGCGCUGUCGAGAUUGCGCUGAACCACGGGGUUGUAACAUUUUUUGUUAGGACUGUGAGUUGAUGAUUCGACAUUGGAUGUUUCGUUUACCUAUUGCGCCCGAAAGAUGACAAUGAAACAUUUUUGUUUGAUAUCGAUUUAUUGUUAAAAUUGUUAAUUUUCAAGAACAAUUUAUUUUGAAAGAUUAUCAUUUCUAAUAUAAAUUUUAUUUUAAAAAAACUAAGUUUUGCGUUUUCAUUGGCACUCAGUAUAAUUUCUCUAAUUCUUCGUGAAUUAAUUCCUUUCUGCACCCAUUGUAUAAAAAUUUUAAUCAAUGUGUGGUUCGUUUGAUCUCAGUUCAUCAUUGGUUAAAAUCUGAUUAUGCUUUCCUUUGAAUUUCCUAUUGUGACGACAUGAAAAAAGGCGACCAUGUCUGAUGACGUCACAUCUUUUUGCUGAUCAUUCGUAAAGAAGGAAUAAGUUUGCCUGCAUAUGUUUGAAAAGCAUUAGAGAAACAGAUUCCACCACCAAAUCUUAUUAUUAUUUAUAAUCAAUAUUUAUCCCCUCUCGACAGUAAAUUUUUAAAUAUUUAAAACGUUCUGUAAUUUAACUGUCUCCAUAAAUAUCGUAUCACACUGGAUGCAGUGGUAGAAUCUAUAUGUACCAUACUUCUAUUGUAUUUAUUCAUUUUAAAACUUUGUCAGCUGGCACUUUUGUGCAUUAAAGAAAAAUGUCAACAAGACAACAAAUGAUGUCAGAUAACAGGAAAUGAUAUUUUUUUGUUUGUUUUUUCUCACAAUGUAAAUUUAAAGACUACCCUGUAUAAACAAUUCUUUUGACAGACAGAAAAAUAUAAAACAAACAUUUCUGCAUUAAAUUUUGACAAUGUGACAGUGUGUUUAAAUUUAACUUAAAAGUUUUAGUGACUAAAUUGAACAAAGAUAUGACCAGUGCCAAAAUCUUAAUUUAAAGAUUAAUACACUAAUUUUGAAUACUCAAGUUCUGACCAUUUCACACUUUGUGUAGGAACAUAUUGACAAUAGUGUUUAAUUUUCAGACUAUUGGGUGCAUCAUUUUCUGGGCUCUGAAGGCUGCAUGUCUGUAUCUAUCUCAGUCAGCCCUAUGAAUCAUGCAUGUGUUACAAAAAGAACAAAUAGAGUUAUCUCCCAUUGACUGUAUGAAAUAUUUACUAUUUGUUAAUUUAUUACCUGUUUUUACAUAAUUAAUUUUGAGUGAAGAUGAGAAAAGGAACUGUUUAAAGUUUACAGCAGCAUUCAAAACCCUUUAAAAUAUAAAUACAAUUAUAUACUUUCACUUACUUUAAACUUCUAGUAAAUCAUACUACAAUGAAAUCCAAACACAGUACUUUAAUAUUUCCCAGCAAUUCUGGAAAAAGUUCCUGUUUUAACUAUUAAAUUGUAAAAUAUUGAUUAAUGCAUUUCCCAAGACACACCUAUUGUCAGAAGUUGAAAAGGAUGUAUAAUUUAAUGGAUUUAUGCUUGUGAUAAUAGAUAAUUAUUGAUUUUUUUUAAGAAAGAAUAGUUUGAUAUACUCAUAUUAACAAAUCUAUACUACAAUAUAGUUGGACUUUAAAUUAAUAAAAGCUAGCAAUCGGAGCUACAUGUAUCUUUGUAUAGCAAAGGAUUAAGAAAAAUGAAAGUUUUGUUUUUCAUUUUUCAGCAAAUCCUUCGAGUUCUUUCCUAUGAUUACAUAACAGUUUUCUUAUUUUCUUUUUUUAUAUAGAAUCCAAUUACAAGCACCCUGAUGUAGCAGCAGAAAGACAACAGACUGUCAUUAUCGGAGUUGUUGUCGGUCUGUGUCUAGCCUGUGUUUUCCUGGUCAUUCUCUGCAUCUCAUACAACUACUACAAACACAAGCCAUACAGGAACACCCCACGUGAUGUUGAAGAACCAUUAACAGCAAUGAAAUAAACAGGAAAUGACAAUUGACUAUGGAAUCAUGGGUAAUUCCACAUUCCAUUUGUUGGAAUUAUAUUGUAGUUGCACAUGAUAUGGAAUUUCCCAUGAUUCUAUAGGAUUUUUUGUGAUAAAAGAAAGAAGACACAUUUUGAAACAGCUGAAAAUUUGAAAAAACUAACAUUAGAAUCUCAAUGCAAGACACAACGAAAGGAGAUUUGAUACUCUUUUUUUUUACCAAGAAUUGAAAUGUACAGGAUAGAUAAUAUUAUUGUCUCCCUUUUCAAAAAGUUUAUGAAAUAAAAGGACCAAAAAAUCUUUUAUCAAAUCAGCAAAUCAGUAAAUUACAUACAUAACAAUGUAAUAAUUCUGAGAAAAAUAUUAACUGUUAUUUUUCUUUAGUGAUCUUCAUUGUCAGAGGAUGGUACAAAAUGAUAUUCCUGAUUCAUUGAGUUUCAUAUUAAUAGAAACAUUUCAUAAACAAAGAAACCAUUUAAAGAAAUAGUCUGAAUAAGUUUUCAACUGUCAAACCUGUACAAUAAGAUAUGAAUCAGAUGGUAGUAUUAUAGUAGAAAUGCUUAUUUUUGCUCAUUGUGCAAUUUUGUAAUUUUAUAUAUAGUUGUAUACCAUACAACUUGGGAUUUUGUACAUUAAAAUCAUAUAUUCAGUUUCACAUAUCCAAUUCAAUGCAAGUCUUAUAUGGUUAAUCAUUAUUUUGUGUACAAUGAAAUGGACAUUGCAUAAUUUUUUUUAAAGUUUGAAUCUCCAGAUUGGAUAAUAACAGACAAUUUAAGUUUAAAGUAUAAGAGAUUGUAGUAGUUAGAAAAUAGGUUAUUAAUACAACAUAUUCCAUUCUCUUAAUCAUUCCUUGUCUAUAUAGAGUAGAUUGUUGUCAAAUGUUCUCUUCCAGUGUAACCAUGGUUACAUUAUUUUGCAUUUUUGCUAUACAUUUGUAUGCAUUUAAUCAUUAUUUUUUUUGUCUGUAUUUUAAACUUAUUUUAUUCUCUAAAUUUUUAUAACCUAAUGACUCCUAAGUCAAGAAAUAUAUUACAUUUUGGUAAAAUAGGAAAAAAAAGAAAUAAAUUGUGAAAUGCAAGUUGAUUUAGUUU
Molecule: long non-coding RNA, 8205 nt
Filed under: Mytilus galloprovincialis (Mediterranean mussel)
Lineage: Eukaryota; Metazoa; Mollusca; Bivalvia; Mytilida; Mytilidae
Source: RNAcentral